AAUGAACGCUGGCGGCAUGCCUAACACAUGCAAGUCGAACGGAAACACAGUAAGCUCUUUCUCCUACCGUUGGCGGGUGGCGGGCGGGUGAGGCGUACAUCACCAUCUACUUUUUCUUGGAUAAUUACGUAAAACCGGUUCCGCUAAUACCGCAUACGACCUACGGCUUAAAUCAAUGGAUCAUCGCACCUUUCGCGAUUCAUUUAGCCGAUGCCGGAUUAGCUAGUUGGGUGGGUAAAGGCCCACCAAGGCGACGAUCCGUAGCUGGUCUGAGAGGAUGAUCGGCCACACUGGAACUGAGACACGGUCCAGACUCCUACGGGAGGCAGCAGUGGGGAAUAUUGGACAAUGGGCGAAAGCCUGACGCAGCAAUGCCGCGUGAGUGAAGAAGGCCUUCGGGUUGUAAAGCCCUUUUGUUGGGAAAGAACAGAUGUAGGUGAAUACAUGGCUGUUUUGACGGUACCCAAAGAAUAAGCACCGGCUAACUUCGUG
This 492-nucleotide ribosomal RNA is filed under the name uncultured bacterium. RNAcentral describes it as "partial 16S ribosomal RNA". It matches the Rfam family "Bacterial small subunit ribosomal RNA", at positions 29 to 507 of the family's 1533-position model. The record is from RNAcentral.